This 468-nucleotide ribosomal RNA is filed under the name uncultured bacterium. RNAcentral describes it as "partial 16S ribosomal RNA". It matches the Rfam family "Bacterial small subunit ribosomal RNA", at positions 28 to 507 of the family's 1533-position model. The record is from RNAcentral.
GACGAACGCUGGCGGCGUGCUUAACACAUGCAAGUCGAGCGGAAGGGCGCUGCUUUUGUUUGGUUCUCGUGUGGGGAAGGGGUGAGUAACACGUGAGUAACCUGCCCUUUACUUUGUGAGAUCUUCAGGGAACUCGGGCUAAUACCUGGGAGGAUCUCCUGCUGCGUGGGGGUGGUUGGAAAGUUUCGGCGGUUGGGGAUGGACUCGCGGCUUAUCAGCUGGUUGGUGUGGUAGGUGCUUACCAGGGCUUUGACGGGUAGCCGGCAUGAGAGGGUGACCGGCCACAUUGGGACUGAGAUACGGACCAGACUCCUACGGGAGGCAGCAGUGGGGAAUAUUGCACAACGGGCGGAAGCCUGAUGCAGCAACGUCGCGUGCGGGAUGACGGCCUUCGGGUUGUAAACAGCUUUCGAAUGUGACGAAGAGUGCGUGACGGUAAUGGGUCAAGAAGCACCGGCUAACUACGUG